CUGCAUGGGCGAGUGUCCACUGGAAGCCACUGAGAGGAAGGAGGGAAACCUCAGAAACCGGCCCCUGCCUGGCUGCUUCACCCUAGAAAGCCCAGGCAGAGGAGGGAAAGGGACCUACAGAAAAUAUGUGGCACCUCGGCAGCCUGGCCUGCAGCACUCCCCUCCCCAUCGGUGAGUCCUGCUACAGUGGGUCCAGGUGUCUGGACGCCCGGCACGCACGGCUCUCUGCAGACCUCUGGACAGUACCAUGGGAGCCGCACAGUCCCUGCCUGUUCUGUCCGGCAGUUCUUGUUUCCCAGCACCCUGUCUCAGGGUGAAUAUGGAAGUCCUCUUGUUUCCAUGUCAUGAUGAAGGAAAGCAAGGACCAUCUUUUGCCAAGGAACAGUGGCUGUGGGGGAACUGAGGAGAUGGAAGGACAAGGCAGUCAAAAGCUUUGGAACAACUCUUUUUUUGAGAUGGAGUUUUGCUCUUGUUGUCCAGGCUGGAGUGCAAUGGCACGACCUCGGCUCACCACAACCGCUGCCUCCCAGGUUCAAGUGAUUCUCCUGCCUCAGCCUCCCGAGUAGCUGGGAUUGCAGGGGAGUGCCGAGUUUCACCCUUGUCGCCCAGGCUGGAGUGCAAUGGUGCGAUCUCUGCUCACUGCAACCUCUGCCUCCCAGGUUCAAGUGAUUCUCCUGCCUCAGCCUCCCAACUAGCUGUGAUUACAGCUGUGGAGACCUACCAACAUCAAUGCAAACCAGAAGCUAACACCCAGUUCAUAUAUCCCAAGUGGAAGGAAGCUUCUCGUGGAAUUGUCUUACAUGACAGUAACAUAAAUCCUGAAGGAGAUUGGUGGCUCCAUCAAAAAGGAGUUAAAAAGAAGCAGCACUAUUUUGUGGAAUACAAUCAUCACCAUUAUCACCAUCAGCACCACCAACCAGCACCACCAUUAUCAAAAGCAUUCACCUGGUGUCUGCCUUACAAACUGCAAACUGCAGUAGGUAUUUGUAAUAGAAUGUUUCCUUUCCCCCUUGGGAUCUGCAGAAAAGCUGGAGAAUGUUUUGGUAUCAACACACUAGGUUGCAUUGCUAAUCAUGUGAUGGCCCCAUGACAGUCUCUGUUGGCUGGUGUAGUUCAGGUGGACGACUGCAGGAUUUUGUUCUUGGAGCCUCAGUUCUGACUGGGCUUGGGGUGUAAAAGGUUUGGGAGCCAGAUGACAAGAGUAUUUGAUGGGUAGAAUAAUGGGUUCAUCCAAAAGAUCACCAGAAUGGUUAUUAAAUAGUACAAAGGAGGAAUUUACUGGUAAUACCAGUUUGCAAACAGAGAAGAGAGUCUCCAAUGUGGACUGAAAGUGCUCUCUCUUUGAAGAGGGGAAGGACAGAUUGGGUUUUAUGCCUCACAGGACUGGUACCAUACAUAUUCAGCAGGUUUUUGGGGAAAAUCUAUACAUAUUUAUAAGGUGAGCUGAUGCCUGCAUAAUAGAUAAACAUAUAUGUAACAUACUUUUCAUAUUCAUUUUGGGACUGGGUUUUGGCACUAAAAUUUGUGGAAUUUGGCUCUUUAUGUUAAAAGGUGAACUAGAGGACACAAAGACGGUUUGUGUGCACCCUCUAUAAACUGGCUGAAACUGGCUUAAGGUCUGCAACUGCUUAUCCAAAAAGAAUGUUUGUAAGGCCAGGCCUCUGUCCAGUCAGAGUUGUAGUGGUCCAGGUUGUAAAUCAAAGUUUAUAGCUCUUUUUGUUAGAGAGUUCAGCUGUAGGAAUUUAGAAAUUUGCCAUGCCUGCCAGGCCCUGAACCUUUGACCCAUAGGUAACUUUAUUUCCUUAACCUUAGGGUCAGUCUUAGUUGAUAUGGGGCAUCUAUUCUGGUAUCUCAGAUCCUAUGGUCAAGAGAAAAGAUCCUCCACAAGAGGGUCCUAUGUGGCUGCAAAAACUGCUCUGAGCUAAAUCCACUCAAAAUCACUGCAGGAUGUCACUACUAGAAAAUAGGGCAGGGAUAGGGAUCCCCUUCCCAUGCUGCCAGAAAAUGCCUGAUAGCUUACCUCCCCCGGCCCUUGAGGCUCCCUUGGAAUAGGCACAUGCAAUCCCAUCUCCACCCAAUAGAGCUUGUCCUAGAGCUCAGUUUUUUCCCAUAGUUUUCCCACCCACUUGCACCAGAAAAUCUAAUAAAGUCAUGUGAUUAAUACAAUUCAUUUUAUCACGCUUCUGAAGAUUUAAGAGAGAGCGGUCACAUUGGAUUCCACAGUACCGACCUUCUGACGAUUCUUCAUUUCACCUUUAUCUAUUUUUAUUUUUAUUUUAUUUUUUUUUCGAGACGGGGUCUCACUCUGUCACCCAGGCUGGAGUGCAGUGGGGCAAUUACGGCUCACUGCAACCUCUGCCUUCUGUGCUCAAGCAAUCCUCCCACCUCAGCCUCCCAAGUAGCUGGGAUCAUAGGUGCACAUCACCAAGCCUGGCUAAUUUUUUGUAUUUUUGGUAGAGAUGGGGUUUCACCAUGUUGCCCAGGCUGGUCUUGAACUUCUGAGCUCAAGUGAUCUGCCCACCAUAGCCUCCCAAAGUGCUGGGAUUACUCACGUGAGCCACCUCGCCUGGUCCCUUUCACCUUUAUUAUCUUUGCCUUUAACUCUAGUGCUUCCUCCCUGAAUCAGUUAAGGAUUGCAUUUGGCUGCAUUAACAGAAACCUGACUGCAGAAGCUUAACCAAAUAGGGUAGUUUUUAAAGAGAGAUUGCUUACAUCACGCAAAUUGCACAAAUUUUAAGUGCAUAGUUCAAUGAGUUUUGACAAAUGUAGAAUAACAUAGCUAUAUAAAACCAUUCCAUCAAAAAAAUUUUAUCACCAUAGGAAAUUGUGUCCUGUCCCUUUCUUGUCAAUCCCAACUCCUCCCCACAAGGCAACCUUCAUUCUCAUUUCUCUCACCAUAGCUUAGUUUUACAUGUUUCUAUAAUACAGCAUCAUAUAAAUGGAAUAAUACAGAAUGCAAUCUUUUGUAUGAAGCUUCCUUUGGCUCAAUGUAAUGUUUAUGAGAUUCAUCCAUGUUAUUGAAUGUAUCAGUAGUGUUUUCAUUUAUAUUUCCUAGUGUUCUAUUGAAUAAAUAUACUACAAUUUGUUUAUCCACUUAUUUGUUGAUGAACAUUUGGACCGUUGGCAAUUUUUGCCUAUUAUGCAUAAAGCUGUUAAAAAACA
RNAcentral lists this long non-coding RNA (3162 nucleotides) under Homo sapiens (human). Its description in RNAcentral is "HSALNT0199438". Lineage: Eukaryota; Metazoa; Chordata; Mammalia; Primates; Hominidae. The record is from RNAcentral.